CAGCCGCCGCGGGAAUACGGAGGGGGCUAGCGUUGUUCGGAAUUACUGGGCGUAAAGCGCACGUAGGCGGCUUGGCAAGUUAGAGGUGAAAGCCCGGAGCUCAACUCCGGAAUUGCCUUUAAGACUGCCGAGCUAGUAGGUGAGAGAGGUAAGUGGAAUUCCGAGUGUAGAGGUGAAAUUCGUAGAUAUUCGGAAGAACACCAGUGGCGAAGGCGGCUUACUGGCUCAUUCUAGACGCUGAGGUGCGAAAGCGUGGGAGCAAACAGGAUUAGAUACCCGAGUAGUCCCUGUCUCUUAUACA
RNAcentral lists this ribosomal RNA (301 nucleotides) under uncultured bacterium. Its description in RNAcentral is "partial 16S ribosomal RNA". It matches the Rfam family "Bacterial small subunit ribosomal RNA", at positions 509 to 808 of the family's 1533-position model. The record is from RNAcentral.